UGGCGAACGGGUGAGUAACACGUGAGUAACCUGCCCUCCUCUUCGGGAUAACCGCCGGAAACGGCGGCUAAUACCGGAUAUGAAUGUCUGCCGCAUGGUGGGUGUUGGAAAGAUUUAUCGGUGGGGGAUGGACUCGCGGCCUAUCAGUUUGUUGGUGAGGUAAUGGCUCACCAAGGCGAUGACGGGUAGCCGGCCUGAGAGGGCGACCGGCCACACUGGGACUGAGACACGGCCCAGACUCCUACGGGAGGCAGCAGUGGGGAAUAUUGCACAAUGGGCGAAAGCCUGAUGCAGCGACGCCGCGUGGGGGAUGACGGCCUUCGGGUUGUAAACCUCUUUCAGCAGGGAAGAAGCGAGAGUGACGGUACCUGCAGAAGAAGCGCCGGCUAACUACGUGCCAGCAGCCGCGGUAAUACGUAGGGCGCAAGCGUUGUCCGGAAUUAUUGGGCGUAAA
RNAcentral lists this ribosomal RNA (454 nucleotides) under uncultured bacterium. RNAcentral's name for it is "bacterial SSU rRNA". It matches the Rfam family "Bacterial small subunit ribosomal RNA", at positions 96 to 564 of the family's 1533-position model. The record is from RNAcentral.